CUAGGGUGAGGGCGCCGUGGUGCUCGGGAAGACCGGUUCAAAAUCCGGAGCGGCCCUCGCCACUGUGAUCGGGAAGUCCUCGCGCCGAUUCCCCCCGCUUGCCGGGGAGGGGUCACUGGGCACGCGGGUGUCUGGGAAGGCCGGGCGCGCGGACGUUUCACCCGUAAGCCAGGAGACCGGCCACGGCACCGUACGAGAC
This 199-nucleotide non-coding RNA is filed under the name Streptomyces sp. RNAcentral also lists the same sequence under 1 other name. Lineage: Bacteria; Bacillati; Actinomycetota; Actinomycetes; Kitasatosporales; Streptomycetaceae. The record is from RNAcentral.